RNAcentral lists this ribosomal RNA (301 nucleotides) under uncultured bacterium. Its description in RNAcentral is "partial 16S ribosomal RNA". It matches the Rfam family "Bacterial small subunit ribosomal RNA", at positions 509 to 808 of the family's 1533-position model. The record is from RNAcentral.
CAGCAGCCACGGGAAUACGUAGGGUGCGAGCGUUAAUCGGAAUUACUGGGCGUAAAGCGUGCGCAGGCGGUUGUGUAAGACAGGUGUGAAAUCCCCGGGCUUAACCUGGGAACUGCGCUUGUGACUGCACAGCUAGAGUAUGGCAGAGGGGGGUGGAAUUCCACGUGUAGCAGUGAAAUGCGUAGAGAUGUGGAGGAACACCGAUGGCGAAGGCAGCCCCCCUGGGCCAAUACUGACGCUCAUGCACGAAAGCGUGGGGAGCAAACAGGAUUAGAUACCCGAGUAGUCCCUGUCUCUUAUU